This 411-nucleotide long non-coding RNA is filed under the name Heterocephalus glaber (naked mole-rat). RNAcentral's name for it is "lncRNA (ENSHGLG00100046765.1)". Lineage: Eukaryota; Metazoa; Chordata; Mammalia; Rodentia; Bathyergidae. The record is from RNAcentral.
CAAGAGGUGGUACCGUGUAACGUGAGUGUGUAACAGGCUCCGCCCUAAGUUGGUGUAAGUUCAGUAACUCGGAGGUGUGCACAUCCGGGAACUCACCUGGAGGUGCAUUUCUCAGAUGCGUCUCCUCUGGGUGUAACUCGCUGCUUUAAUCUCCAGCACCAGAAACAAACUAACACGGGAAUGUGCAUCUCUUCAUAAAGCAACGCGAGAUUGUGAACAAUGACCAUGCGCCAUUGUAUAGAUGAGGAAGCGCAUGCGCUUGGAGAGGCGGCCCGCUCAGCCCAGGUACAGGCAGAGGCAGAGCCAGGGACGGACCACAUGCAGCUCAUCCUUCCGGGGCUUCGCUGGGCAACAAUCAACCUGCUAACACGCUACCAAAAACAAACAAUAUGCCCAGGACAUCAUCAACCA